Molecule: transfer RNA, 85 nt
Filed under: Felis catus (domestic cat)
Lineage: Eukaryota; Metazoa; Chordata; Mammalia; Carnivora; Felidae
Rfam family: tRNA
About the family: Transfer RNA (tRNA) molecules are approximately 80 nucleotides in length. Their secondary structure includes four short double-helical elements and three loops (D, anti-codon, and T loops).
Source: Rfam by way of RNAcentral
GCCUGGGUGGCUCAGUCGGUUGAGCAUCUGACUUCGGCUCAGGUCAUGAUCUCGCAGUUUGUGAGUUUGAGCCCCGCAUCAGGCU